AAAUAAUGAGAACCUGAGUUGACCGAUUUUACAUUAUGAUAUUUUACGUUGUCUACCCAAAGGUAGGGAGAGUGGAUAUCGACCAUUGAAAAAAUAUCACGAUAUUCAUCUCUUGAGUACAAUAAUUUGGACUAGUCUGGCCAAAGACCUGUGUAUAAUUGUAGCUUAAUUUAAGUAGAUAUAUUCGACACCUUAAGCAUGAAAACGCUUUAAACGGUGAAGCAAUUUUCGAUUCAGAAUGACCGGUGCGAACAUUUCAUGAAAACGAAAGUAGAUCUUUUCUGCGUCUUCAUUAUUAAAUGCUGCCCAGUGUUUGCAUCUACAUCGUCAGUAUAAUGGAUUUUAUUCUGAUUGUUGUCGUCGUGUAAGUUCGACAUCUUUCGGGCAAAUUCGGCACCCUGAUGAAUUUUAAAAAUAUACAAGUUGAACAUUAAUCAUUUUUUGUAGAACUAAAUUAAAAACAGCUAAUUCCGCAACAGACAUAACACAUGGUUUUACUCUGACGAGUAGGCUCUAAUUUUUCAGAUUUCAUAACUCGAGCUAUAAAAAGUAAAACAAAAAAUAAUCUUUAUUGUUCAGGGGAUUAUACAAACACCAGCUAAUUGUUUCCAGGGAUUUUUUUAAGGCCCAUCCCAAUUGCAAAAAUGUGCUUAUUUUCCCAAUUUUGAGGUUUAAAUUUCCCAAAAAUCUGCCAAAAAAUAACAAUUUUGCGGUUAUCUCAAUUAUCAGGUUUCCGAUUUUUCGUUUUGAUUCUUGUUCCUCAUUUUUAAUGGAGUUAGCGCUGUUCCUGUUUUAAUUGAAUAACCGCUCAAUUACCGAUUCGAUUAAAUCUUGCGAACUGUUCUAUAUUCCGUAUACAUGACCCCGCGAUCACAUUUAAUCAAGCUCGCCAAUUUUCCCGGAAAUGAAAAUAUAUCGAGUAAUAAAUAGUAAAUAUCAUACAAAUAAAGUCAUAAAAAAGUAUGCUGCUGACAACAAAAAAGCAGUCAAGCUUCAGCUUUGUCAAUAAAACAAGUGCUGAGAAACAGGCCACCGCAAUAAAGUCUCAGGAUUCGGUAAGGUCUACAAGAAGUUGAAUGUGUCACCAGGACAACACACUUUAACACUUGCAGCAUUGAAAGACAAUCAGCAUACAAAGCGUAGACAGUACCGAAGUACAGUGGAAGCCAAACAGUUGAGGAGGCAAAAUAAAGAUAAAAGGACAAAAUCACUAGCAAUGUUUGGCGGUACGAGAGGGACCAACCUAGCAAUCAGGCAUUGAUUUAGAAGAAAAUGUUGAUAUGGAAGCUAUUCCCGCUCCGAUGUAUCAGCCAUGUCCUGAAGAUGACCCAAUUAUGGCUGACGAUUCAAUCUGUAGGGUUGUCUUUGACCUUGAAACAACUGGUCUGGAGAGAGAUUCACAUAUAACAGAACUUGCAGCUGAAACUGUAUAUUCCACAAACAACAGUACAGAUACCUUUCAUCGUUUCAUUUUUACCAAGAAACCUAUUUUUAACCAGGCUUCCAAGAUAACUGGCAUAACAGUGAAAGGCAGACAAUUGUUUAAAAAUGCGGCUCUCGUCAACAAUUCUGUUUCUGUAUCAAGAGCUUUAACUUCAUUCCUUGAUUUUUUUAAACAAAAACAAAAGAUUAUUGUACCCCCCGACAACAAAGUUGUAAGGGGGGGGGGGUAUACUGGUUUCAGGUUGUCUGUCUGUCUGUCCGUCUGGCCGUCUGUCCGUAGACGCAAUCUUGUGCGCACCAUCUCUCCUUAUCCCCUUGACAGAAUUUAAUGAAACUUCACACAAGUGAUCAGUACCAACAGUAGUUGUGCAUGGGGCAUGUUAGGUUCUUUUAGAAAAAAAAGUUGCAGAGUUAUGGGACUUUGUUUUUUUGUUACUAUACUAUAUACAUAGACACAAUCUUGUGCGCACCAUCUCUCCUCAUCCCCUUGACAGAAUUUAAUGAAACUUCACACAAGUGAUCAGUACCAACAGUAGUUGUGCAUGGGGCAUGUUAGGUUCUUUUAGAAAAAAAAAUUGCAGAGUUAUGGGACUUUGUUUUUUUGUUACUAUACUAUAUACAUAGACACAAUCUUGUGCGCACCAUCUCUCCUCAUCCCCUUGACACAGUUUAAUGAAACUUCACACAAGUGGUCAGUAACAACAGUAGUUGUGCAUGGGAUAUGUUAGGUUCUUUCAGAAAAAAAUUUGCAGAGUUAUGGGACUUUGUUUUUUUGUUACUUUACUAUAUACAUAGACACAAUCUUGUGCGCACCAUCUCUCCUCAUCCCCUUGACACAAUUUAAUGAAACUUCACACAAGUGAUCAGUAACAACAGUAGUUGUGCAUGGGGUAUGUUAGGUUCUUUCAGCGACAAAAAUUGCAGAGUUAUGGGACUUUGUUUCUUGUUAACAUACUAUGUACAUACAGUCUGCAUAUGCAAUCUUGUGUGUGCCUAAUCUACCAAACCCUUACACACAAUUUAAUGAAACUUCACACAAGUGAUCAGUACCAACCCUAGUUGUGCAUGGUGCAUGUUACAUUCUUUUAGAUAAAUAUUCUGCAUAGUUAUGGGACUUUGUUUUUUGUUACUAUACUGUAUACAUACAGUCCACAUAAUUAUGCAAUCUUGUGUGCGUCAAAUUGCAAUGUACUGUGUCAGUGCAUGCGGGGGGUACAUUCAUCACCUUUAGUGAUAGCUCUAGUUCUUGUUGGUCGCAAUAUAAAAACAUUUGAUAGCCUUGUUCUUGUUAAUGCUCUGGAAAAUGUUAACAUGAUGGAAGAUUUUCGAAAUAUAGUCAUUGGAUUUGAGGACACACGGAAACUGUUCAUGAUUAAUAAUCCAGAGCUGAUAACCUACUUGCAGGAAAAUUCAGUUGGCCAGCUGCUUGGCCAAGAAUAUCAAGCACACAGUGCAUCUGAGGAUGUGAAAGCGUUGAAGGCUUUGUAUACAACUGUAGAUGUUGGGAAACAUGUACAUGCAAAAUGUCUAUUUUCUGUUGCAUAUUCUAUCCUCGGCCUUAAUUAUUCACAAAGAGUCCGGAGAAAUUUACCCUCACUUCAAAGAAUGAUUGACAUGAAAGUGUUAACACAAUCUAUGGCAAGAAGAGUAACCGGAAGUGGAUUGGUUUUUAGACAUAUUGAAAUAGUAUUCCGUAGAAGUGGAAAACAAGGGAUUACCAAUCUCUUUUCAGAAACAGUAAAUGGAAAAGUUAGAGUAACUAAAUGUUCUAAAAUUGUCCAGUCAGUGUGUGUUCUUUUCUAGCAACUAAUUUGUAUACAGGCUUUCCAGCAAUAUAUUUUAUAAAAGGAGAAAAGUAGGAAUAAAAUUCUUAAAAUACUAGGAGAAAAAACUAGGAAACAAAGUGCUCAAGGUGAGCUAUUGUGAUCAGUCAAUGUCCGUCGUCCGUCAGACCACUGAUCAUAUUUUGACCAAACUUCACAGAAAUGAUCCUUGGGUGGUCCUCUUUCAAAAUUGUUCAGGUCCAUUGCACCACUAGGAGAGAAGUUUAAAAAUCUUCUUUGUCUGAAACAGCAAGGCCUUGUUCUUUGAUAUUUAGUCUGUAGCAUUGUCUAGUGAUCCUCUAUCAACAUUGUACAUAUUAUGCCCCUGGGGUGAAAAGAAGCCCUGGGCACACGGAGGUCACAGCUUUUACAUGCAAUAGAAAGAGUAUGGGCUCACGAGAAUAAUUUGGUUAUUUCCAACUUCAAGAAAUAACCUGAUUAUUUGAGUGAGUCCUACUCUGUUUUGUAUCAUGGUCCUCCAAUAAGAACAACGAUUUUUUAGCUCGACUAUUCGAAGAAUAAGUAGAGCUAUCCUACUCACCACGGCGUCAGUGUCGGCGUCGGCGUCACACCUUGGUUAAGUUUUUCGUACCAGUCCACAUUUUGACAAAGUCUUUUGAGAUAAAGCUUUGAAACUUUCAACACUUGUUUACCAUCAUCAUGGCCAGUUAUAGGCAAGAGAACAUAACUCCAUCAAGGAUUUUGGCUGAAUUAUGGCCCCUUUUGACUUAGAAAUCAUGAUUAAGUUUUUCGUACCAGUUCAUAUUUUGACAAAGUCUUUAAAGAUAAAGCUUUGAAACUUUCAACACUUGUUUACCAUCACCAUGGCCAGUUAUAGGCAAGAGUACAUAACUCCAUCAGGGAUUUUGGCUGUAUUAUGGCCCCUUUUGACUUAGAAAUCUUGGUUAAGUUUUUCGUACCAGUUCAUAUUUAGACAAAGUCUUUUGAGAUAAAGCUUUGAAACUUUCAACACUUGUUUACCAUCACCAUGACCAGUUAUAGGCAAGAGCACAUAACUCCAUCAAGGAUUUUGGCUGAAUUAUGGCCCUUUUUGACUUAGAAAUCUGGGUUAAUAUUUCGUACCAGUUCAUAUUUUGACAAAGUCUUUUGAGAUAAAGCUUUGAAACUUUCAACACUUGUUUACCAUCACCAUGUCCAGUUAUAGGCAAGAGUACAUAACUCCAUCAAAGAUUUUGGCUGAAUUAUGGCCCCUUUUGACUUAGAAAUCUUGGUUAAGUUUUUCGUACCAGUUCAUAUUUUUUGUAAAGUGUUUGACACAUGGCUUUGAAACUUUUAUCACUUGUUUAGUAUAACAGUCUUUAUCUGUAGGAAAGAGAACAUAACUCUGUCGUCUAUUUUGGCUGAAUUAUGGUCCUUUUUGGACUUUGAAAUUGGUUCUGUUUUCAUACAAGUCCAUGUUUUGUCAAAACUAUUUGACAUAUGGCUUUUAAACUUUGAACACUUGUUUAUCAUUAUGAUUUCCAUCUGUAGGCAAGAGUACAUAACUAUUUUGACUGAAUUAUGGCCCUUUUUGGACUUUGAAAUUGGCUCAUAUAUUGCCAUUUAGUGCAAGACUUAUCGAAAUCAAAGUAAUACAGGAACAUUGUUUGUCUAAUCUAUUUAUUUCUUUUGUCUGAAUAUCCAUGGAAAUAUUUUGACCCCAUUCUUCAAUCAAUUCUUCGAAUAGUCGAGCGCGCUGUCAUCAGAAGCUCUUGUUUAUUGACAAGUCAAACCUGCUCAUUCAUCGUUUUUAUUAUAAUUUUAACGUCUGGUUCUACUCUGGCUCCUAAUGAUUGACAGUCAGUUUACAUAAUCACGUGACAUCUUGUGCUAUGGGAACGUCCUGUUGAACUAGUUUUUGUCGCAUUUAUGCACAUUUGAGUACUAGAUUUGUAGAUGUUCUUACAUGUGUGCACCAGUUUUAUGAUUUUGACACUGUACUACAAUUUCAUUAUUAUCUUAAGUUUGACUGAGGCAAUCAGGGUAGAUAGCUAUGGACUGAUUUUGUGUCAAAUUACCUCCCUUUGUUUCAAAUCAAAAUGGAAGCUGUUACAAGAAAAUGUUUAUCCUCAUUCCUGAUGAUAUUUAAUGUGUAUGCCUAUGUGCUCUAUGUCAAAACUUGAUCAUAUCAUUUUGAGUAAUGGUACACAGGUGAGCGAUAUAGGGCCAUCAUGGCCCUCUUGUUAAAGUUUUGCAUGUAAGGGUAUAUCUGUAUUAUACAGAAGAAAUAUGGCUUUGAAAUCUUUGGUGAAUGAUUCUAGGUCAUUGACUACACUAAACUGAUCUUGCCUACCUAGCGGGGAAAGUAUACAUUUAUCCGAGCACGCGUCGGGGAUAGAUAUUCCUGUCUUUCCCUAGGGAAAAACCUUGUCUAAAAUAGCGUGCAUUAAGGUGACGUCACAUAGUACUGGUACCAUUGUGACGUCAUAAACUUUAUAAAUAAUGUCAGGAAAUACCCAAACCUAUUUGUCUCCACGAUCUAUUUUGAACAUGAUAGGCAAGAAAAAUGAUCUAACAUGUCUGCCUGUGUAAGACAGCUGUUUUCCCUACCCUCGGGACAGCAUGGAUAAAAAACCUCCCUAACGCUCGGUUUUCCAUUCCACACUGUCCCUCGGGUAGGGAAAACCCCGUCUUACACGGGCAGGCAUGUAAUCAAGUCCCAUAACUUUAUCAUGUAUUUUGGCUGAAUUAUGUCGCUUUUGGACUUAGAAAAUCUGUUAAAGUUUUGUGUGCAUUGAAACUUCACACACCUCCUUCGGGUCAAUAACCUAGGUCACACACCAAGUCCCAUAACUCUGGCUUGCAUUUUAACAGAAUUUUGCGUCUUUUUGUACUUAGAAAAUCCAUGUUAAAGUUUUCAUGCAAGGGCAUGUCUCCAUAACUACUGAAGAUAUUGCAUUGAAACUUGACACACCUAUGUGGGGGUCAGUAAUUCUUGGAUUUUUAGCAAAAUUGGUUCUGAGUAGUCAAGCGUGCUGUUUUAUGGAUAGCUCUUUUUAGAGUAAAGUGAGAAUUGAGGAGCGCACAGUCUUAUGGACAGCUCUUGCUUUAUUUUGAUGAUGACCAGAUAAUGUACAGUCAAAUACUUGACCAUAAGGGCUAAUCAUUGAAUAAAAGCUUUUAUUUAUAUAUAGUUUGCAAUUUUUCUUGCAUCUAGAUCAAACUUGGUUUGGAAUUUAUACCAAAGUCAUUCUUCAGUUGGGUCAUGUAGGGUUAAUAUUGUCAAAACUUUGAAAUAGAGAGCAUUGUAUGUAUAGAGAGUUUAAAUGAAGCAUGUGUUAAGUUUUGUGUAUCGGAUAUUUUAUCAGUUUCUAUUGUUUUCUACAGAGUUGCUUGCAAAUCUGUUAGAAACAUAUACUGUAUUGGGAUAGGGUGAUAUCUAUUAUCAAUGAGAACAUUUGUACAUUGUAAUUUGAUAAUACAGUUUUGCAAAAAAGACAAUUUCAAAAAGUUUGUAAACUUGUUAUUUGUAUUUAUAUAUUUGACCUGUGAUAUACAUGUGUGACCUUGACCUUUGAGUCAUGCAUUCCAGUCUUAUUUGUUGUAUAUCUAGGCUUCCCUGUCAUCUUGUUGCACCUUGUAUUUUUAGAUUCUUUUAUUGAAUUAUGGUGAUAAAUUACAUAAAGGCUUGAAAAUUAUGACUUUUUACUGAAGUAUUUGACCUUUGACCCCUAUAUUUGUUAUUGAUUUUUAAAUUUUUCACUAAAAUUUAAAUUGUCACAGGUUUUCUCCAUCAUCCUCUAUCAUAACAUAAAAAUAUUUAGAGAAUAUGUUGAUAAAUGAAAAAAGGUGCUUCAAAAAUGAUAAAAACGUGUAUUUUUUAAGGACAAUUUGACCUUUGACCUUUGAAUGUGGCGUUGACAUCUGUAUGUUUAACCAAAUUAUUGCAUGUUUUGAUUGUUUCCAACAUAGGUUAACUCUUGGUAAAGUUAUUUGAAAAACCAUUGACAAACAAUUUGGUAGCAGUAUUUUACAUAAAAUAUCAAUGUUAAAAAACUGGGUGGGGUAAUUUUACCCCAUAUUUCAUGUUAAAUUCUGUAUUUAAAAAGAAAAUUAACGACUUAGACCUUUACCAUUCAGCAUUGUAUUUUAUAUUUAUUAACUAUGUUUAAUUAAAUUAAAUUUAUAUCUAUGUAUGAAAUAAAUCUAGACAAAUUA
Molecule: long non-coding RNA, 7424 nt
Organism: Mercenaria mercenaria
Lineage: Eukaryota; Metazoa; Mollusca; Bivalvia; Venerida; Veneridae
Exons: 4
Source: RefSeq, a predicted model, not a curated record